UACGGGGGGGGGCAAGCGUUGUUCGGAAUUACUGGGCGUAAAGGGCUCGUAGGUGGCCAACUAAGUCAUACGUGAAAUCCCUCAGCUUAACUGGGGAACUGCGCCUGAUACUGGUUGGCUUGAGUUUGGGAGAGGGACGCGGAAUUCCAGGUGUAGCGGUGAAAUGCGUAGAUAUCUGGAGGAACACCGGUGGCGAAGGCGGCGUCCUGGACCAAUACUGACACUGAGGAGCGAAAGCCAGGGGAGCAAACGGG
This 254-nucleotide ribosomal RNA is filed under the name uncultured bacterium. Its description in RNAcentral is "partial 16S ribosomal RNA". It matches the Rfam family "Bacterial small subunit ribosomal RNA", at positions 524 to 776 of the family's 1533-position model. The record is from RNAcentral.